RNAcentral lists this ribosomal RNA (484 nucleotides) under uncultured bacterium. Its description in RNAcentral is "partial 16S ribosomal RNA". It matches the Rfam family "Bacterial small subunit ribosomal RNA", at positions 30 to 507 of the family's 1533-position model. The record is from RNAcentral.
AUUGAACGCUGGCGGCAGGCCUAACACAUGCAAGUCGAGCGGAUGAAGGGAGCUUGCUCCUGGAUUCAGCGGCGGACGGGUGAGUAAUGCCUAGGAAUCUGCCUGGUAGUGGGGGAUAACGUCCGGAAACGGGCGCUAAUACCGCAUACGUCCUGAGGGAGAAAGUGGGGGAUCUUCGGACCUCACGCUAUCAGAUGAGCCUAGGUCGGAUUAGCUAGUUGGUGGGGUAAAGGCCUACCAAGGCGACGAUCCGUAACUGGUCUGAGAGGAUGAUCAGUCACACUGGAACUGAGACACGGUCCAGACUCCUACGGGAGGCAGCAGUGGGGAAUAUUGGACAAUGGGCGAAAGCCUGAUCCAGCCAUGCCGCGUGUGUGAAGAAGGUCUUCGGAUUGUAAAGCACUUUAAGUUGGCAGGAAGGGCAGUAAGUUAAUACCUUGCUGUUUUGACGUUACCAACAGAAUAAGCACCGGCUAACUUCGUG